RNAcentral lists this ribosomal RNA (1061 nucleotides) under uncultured stramenopile. RNAcentral's name for it is "bacterial SSU rRNA". It matches the Rfam family "Microsporidia small subunit ribosomal RNA", at positions 243 to 1284 of the family's 1311-position model. The record is from RNAcentral.
CGGAGAGGGAGCAUGAGAGACGGCUACCAGGUCCAAGGACGGCAGCAGGCGCGAAAAUUACCGAAGCUCAAAUUGAGGCGGUAGUAAUGAAACGUAAAAUUCUAAAAGAAGAGUAAAAAUCUUUUUAAUAACUGGAGGUCAAGUCUGGUGCCAGCAUCCGCGGUAAUACCAGCUCCAGGGGUGUCUAUGAUGAUUGCUGCGAUUAAAAGGUCCGUAGUCGAAAUUAUUUAAUUGUUUGAAAAAUAUUAGUUCAAACGAUAGUAAGAACAAUUAUGUAAUUGGAAGAAAUAACUAGGGGCAGGUUUAUCGAGCAACGAGAGGUGAAAUUUGAUGACUUGCUUGGGAGAAACAGAGGCGAAAGCGCCUGUCAAGAGUAUUUUUGACGAUCAAGGACGUAGGCUGGAGUAUCGAACACGAUUAGAUACCGUAGUAGUUCCAGCAGUAAACUAUGCCUACGCUAUCGAAUAAAAGUUUGGUAGACGAGAAAUCAUGAGUAGGGCUUUGGGGAGAGUACACGCGCAAGCGAUAAAUUUUAAAGGAAAUUGACGGAAGAACACCACAAGGAGUGGAGUGUGCGGCUUAAUUUGACUCAACGCGGGACAGCUUACCAGACCCGAGGACCAUAAGAGUGAGUACACGAUAGGUCUAAGAGUGGUGCAUGGCCGUUAUCGACGAGUGAAGUGAUUUUAUGGUUAAAUCCGACAAGUCGUGAGACCCUAAAUAUUAAUUUAUUUUUUUAAUAAAACAGGUAUGAAAAUACAGGAAGGAUAGGACAAGAACAGGUCAGUGAUGCCCUUAGAUGGUUUGGGCUGCGCGCGCACUACAGUGGUUAUAAUAAUAAUAAAGAUAAGAAAAUAAAUAUAAUCGAGAGGGAUUGAGCACUGUAAAGUGCCCAUGAACGAGGAAUUGCUAGUAAUCGUAAAUCUCAGUAAGAUACGAUGAAUAUGUCCCUGUUCUUUGUACACACCGCCCGUCGUUAUCGAAGAUGGAGUUUUGCCCGAACGAGCUUUAGCGAGUGAGUGUAUGAUUCUAGAUCUGAUACAAGUCGUAACAAGGUAACC